UGGGGAAUUUUGGACAAUGGGCGAAAGCCUGAUCCAGCCAUGCCGCGUGCGGGAAGACGGCCUUCGGGUUGUAAACCGCUUUUGUACGGAGCGAAAGGGUCUGCCCUAAUACGGUGGGCUCAUGACGGUACCGUAAGAAUAAGCACCGGCUAACUACGUGCCAGCAGCCGCGGUAAUACGUAGGGUGCGAGCGUUAAUCGGAAUCACUGGGCGUAAAGCGUGCGCAGGCGGUUAUAUAAGACAGAUGUGAAAUCCCCGGGCUCAACCUGGGAACUGCGUUUGUGACGGCAUAGCUAGAGUGCGGCAGAGGGAGGUGGAAUUCCGCGCGUAGCAGUGGAAUGCGUAGAUAUGGGGAAGAACACCGAUGGCGAAGGCAGCCUCCUGGGCCAGUACUGACGCUCAUGAGCGAAAGCGUGGGGAGCAAACA
RNAcentral lists this ribosomal RNA (427 nucleotides) under uncultured bacterium. Its description in RNAcentral is "bacterial SSU rRNA". It matches the Rfam family "Bacterial small subunit ribosomal RNA", at positions 355 to 774 of the family's 1533-position model. The record is from RNAcentral.